Molecule: transfer RNA, 78 nt
Filed under: Rickettsiales bacterium
Lineage: Bacteria; Pseudomonadati; Pseudomonadota; Alphaproteobacteria; Rickettsiales
Description: tRNA-Pro
Rfam family: tRNA
About the family: Transfer RNA (tRNA) molecules are approximately 80 nucleotides in length.
Source: RNAcentral
CGGGGUGUAGCGCAGCCUGGCUAGCGCGUCUGCUUUGGGAGCAGUGGGUCGGGGGUUCGAAUCCCUCCACCCCGACCA